Ribosomal RNA from Oncorhynchus mykiss (rainbow trout), 121 nucleotides. Lineage: Eukaryota; Metazoa; Chordata; Actinopteri; Salmoniformes; Salmonidae. The record is from Ensembl.
GCUUACGGCCACACCGGCCUGAAGUACGCCUGAUCUCGUACCGAUCUCGGAAGCUAAGCAGGGUCGGGCCUGGUUAGUACUUGCUGGUGAGACCGCCUGGGAAUACCAGGUGCUGUAAGCU